GACCAAAAGUUUGCUGUCUGAGCGUUCAGGAUGAAACCAACGCUGAAGCUGCAUGAAGCGGAGAGGUCUUUGAAUGCAUCGUUUGAUCUGUGAGGUCUGUGAAUGCAUCGUUUGAUCUGUGAGGUCUUUGAAUGCAUCGUUUGAGCUGUGAGGUCUUUCAAUGCAUCGUUUGAUCUGAGAGGUCUUUCAAUGCAUCGUUUGAUCUGAGAGGUCUUUCAAUGCAUCGUUUGAGCUGUGAGGUCUUUGAAUGCAUCAUUUGAGCUGUGAGGUCUUUGAAUGCAUCGUUUGAUCCAGGACUCACAGAGAGGAGCAGCUCUUCAUGUCAGCUUGAUGAGUAGAGAUCAGCCGUUAUGUUUGGUCUGUC
Molecule: long non-coding RNA, 364 nt
Organism: Labrus mixtus (cuckoo wrasse)
Lineage: Eukaryota; Metazoa; Chordata; Actinopteri; Labriformes; Labridae
Exons: 3
Source: RefSeq, a predicted model, not a curated record